This 839-nucleotide ribosomal RNA is filed under the name Pseudomonas hunanensis. RNAcentral describes it as "bacterial SSU rRNA". It matches the Rfam family "Bacterial small subunit ribosomal RNA", at positions 91 to 928 of the family's 1533-position model. The record is from RNAcentral. Lineage: Bacteria; Pseudomonadati; Pseudomonadota; Gammaproteobacteria; Pseudomonadales; Pseudomonadaceae.
UUCAGCGGCGGACGGGUGAGUAAUGCCUAGGAAUCUGCCUGGUAGUGGGGGACAACGUUUCGAAAGGAACGCUAAUACCGCAUACGUCCUACGGGAGAAAGCAGGGGACCUUCGGGCCUUGCGCUAUCAGAUGAGCCUAGGUCGGAUUAGCUUGUUGGUGAGGUAAUGGCUCACCAAGGCGACGAUCCGUAACUGGUCUGAGAGGAUGAUCAGUCACACUGGAACUGAGACACGGUCCAGACUCCUACGGGAGGCAGCAGUGGGGAAUAUUGGACAAUGGGCGAAAGCCUGAUCCAGCCAUGCCGCGUGUGUGAAGAAGGUCUUCGGAUUGUAAAGCACUUUAAGUUGGGAGGAAGGGCAGUAAGUUAAUACCUUGCUGUUUUGACGUUACCGACAGAAUAAGCACCGGCUAACUCUGUGCCAGCAGCCGCGGUAAUACAGAGGGUGCAAGCGUUAAUCGGAAUUACUGGGCGUAAAGCGCGCGUAGGUGGUUUGUUAAGUUGGAUGUGAAAGCCCCGGGCUCAACCUGGGAACUGCAUCCAAAACUGGCAAGCUAGAGUACGGUAGAGGGUGGUGGAAUUUCCUGUGUAGCGGUGAAAUGCGUAGAUAUAGGAAGGAACACCAGUGGCGAAGGCGACCACCUGGACUGAUACUGACACUGAGGUGCGAAAGCGUGGGGAGCAAACAGGAUUAGAUACCCUGGUAGUCCACGCCGUAAACGAUGUCAACUAGCCGUUGGAAUCCUUGAGAUUUUAGUGGCGCAGCUAACGCAUUAAGUUGACCGCCUGGGAGUACGGCCGCAAGGUUAAAACUCAAAUGAUUGACGGGGGCCCGCACAA